UACGGAGGGAGCUAGCGUUGUUCGGAAUUACUGGGCGUAAAGCGCACGUAGGCGGCUUUGUAAGUUAGAGGUGAAAGCCCGGGGCUCAACCCCGGAAUUGCCUUUGAGACUGCAUCGCUUGAAUCCGGGAGAGGUGAGUGGAAUUCCGAGUGUAGAGGUGAAAUUCGUAGAUAUUCGGAAGAACACCAGUGGCGAAGGCGGCUCACUGGACCGGUAUUGACGCUGAGGUGCGAAAGCGUGGGGAGCAAACAGG
Molecule: ribosomal RNA, 253 nt
Filed under: uncultured bacterium
Lineage: Bacteria
Description: partial 16S ribosomal RNA
Rfam family: Bacterial small subunit ribosomal RNA
Source: RNAcentral